RNAcentral lists this transfer RNA (73 nucleotides) under Treponema sp. Its description in RNAcentral is "tRNA-Met". It matches the Rfam family "tRNA". From Rfam's summary of the family: Transfer RNA (tRNA) molecules are approximately 80 nucleotides in length. Their secondary structure includes four short double-helical elements and three loops (D, anti-codon, and T loops). Further hydrogen bonds mediate the characteristic L-shaped molecular structure. tRNAs have two regions of fundamental functional importance: the anti-codon, which is responsible for specific mRNA codon recognition, and the 3' end, to which the tRNAs corresponding amino acid is attached (by aminoacyl-tRNA synthetases). tRNAs cope with the degeneracy of the genetic code in two manners: having more than one tRNA (with a specific anti-codon) for a particular amino acid; and 'wobble' base-pairing, i.e. permitting non-standard base-pairing at the 3rd anti-codon position. RNAcentral also lists the same sequence under 1 other name. The record is from RNAcentral. Lineage: Bacteria; Pseudomonadati; Spirochaetota; Spirochaetia; Treponematales; Treponemataceae.
GGUGGCAUAGCCCAGUCGGUAGAGCAAUGGACUCAUAUUCCAUGUGUCAUAGGUUCGAUCCCUAUUGCCACUA